This is a non-coding RNA of Cinara cedri, 642 nucleotides long. The record is from the annotation of a GenBank genome assembly. Lineage: Eukaryota; Metazoa; Arthropoda; Insecta; Hemiptera; Aphididae.
CGACUGAAUAUAAAAUCAAAAUGAGAAAUAGUUAGAGGUACUUAACAAUUAUUUACACAAAGGAGUAAACCAAUUUUUUUAAUUGUUUUUAACCAAGUUUUAUUUGAUAUCUAAAAAAUAUCGUCAGCUUUAGAAUAUAUUCUUUUUAACCCUUAAGCAGGCACGUGCCUUUUUUUAACGUUCGUAGUCGCGUGGGGGUCUGUCCGUCCAAUCGUGGUCGCCGGUCGGUUAUCUUGUAAAUUCCGUUUAAAAAUCUAAUGUUUAUGUUGGUGAGAAAGGUCCCCUUCGUCAUUAUUUAUAUUGAAAAAUCGACGUCACGACUGUUUUCGUUUGAGAAAACGAAAAUGAGAAUGUUUGAAUUCUCAUUUUGCUCCUUUUGUUUUGACAGCGGCUUUACAGACGGCCGACUGUAUCGCGGAAUCCUGCAGUCUCUGGCGGGUGUGCUGCUAUUAUAUUUACCGAUUUCCGCGGAUCGGCCCUCGCGUCUUGACCGACGACGGGCCCCGUCUACCCGCGAUCGAGCUGUCUGCGUCCGUCGUUUUGGCCGCGGGCCCGUAGCCCGUGUUCCGAGGUAGGUACCGCACCCUAUUCGUUUCUUCUCCCUCCAGCGACGAUUCAUCGAUGGCGCUCCAUCGCUCAUCG